CAGCCGCCACGGUAAAACGUAGGGUGCAAGCGUUAAUCGGAAUUACUGGGCGUAAAGCGUGCGCAGGCGGUUCUAUAAGACAGAUGUGAAAUCCCCGGGCUCAACCUGGGAACUGCAUUUGUGACUGUAGAGCUGGAGUGCGGCAGAGGGGGAUGGAAUUCCGCGUGUAGCAGUGAAAUGCGUAGAUAUGCGGAGGAACACCGAUGGCGAAGGCAAUCCCCUGGGCCUGCACUGACGCUCAUGCACGAAAGCGUGGGGAGCAAACAGGAUUAGAUACCCCUGUAGUUCCUGUCUCUUAUAC
RNAcentral lists this ribosomal RNA (301 nucleotides) under uncultured bacterium. RNAcentral's name for it is "partial 16S ribosomal RNA". It matches the Rfam family "Bacterial small subunit ribosomal RNA", at positions 509 to 807 of the family's 1533-position model. The record is from RNAcentral.